This 647-nucleotide ribosomal RNA is filed under the name uncultured bacterium. Its description in RNAcentral is "bacterial SSU rRNA". It matches the Rfam family "Bacterial small subunit ribosomal RNA", at positions 62 to 718 of the family's 1533-position model. The record is from RNAcentral.
UCGAGCGGAGACAGUGAGUAGCUUGCUAUGAGCUGUUUUAGCGGCGGACGGGUGAGUAACGCGUGAGCAACCUUUCCCAGACAGGGGAAUAACACACCGAAAGGUGUACUAAUACCGCAUAAGACCACGGAAUCACAUGGUUCUGAGGUAAAAGAUUUAUCGGUUUGGGGUGGGCUCGCGUCCGAUUAGGUAGUUGGUGAGGUAACGGCCCACCAAGCCGACGAUCGGUAGCCGACCUGAGAGGGUGAUCGGCCACAUUGGGACUGAGACACGGCCCAAACUCCUACGGGAGGCAGCAGUGGGGAAUAUUGGGCAAUGGAGGAAACUCUGACCCAGCAACGCCGCGUGGAGGAAGAAGGUUUUCGGAUCGUAAACUCCUGUCCUUGGAGACGAGUAGAAGACGGUAUCCAAGGAGGAAGCCCCGGCUAACUACGUGCCAGCAGCCGCGGUAAUACGUAGGGGGCAAGCGUUGUCCGGAAUAAUUGGGCGUAAAGGGCGCGUAGGCGGCUCGGUAAGUCUGGAGUGAAAGUCCUGCUUUUAAGGUGGGAAUUGCUUUGGAUACUGUCGGGCUUGAGUGCAGGAGAGGUUAGUGGAAUUCCCAGUGUAGCGGUGAAAUGCGUAGAGAUUGGGAGGAACACCAGUGGCGA